Triticum urartu is the source of this 1861-nucleotide non-coding RNA. Lineage: Eukaryota; Viridiplantae; Streptophyta; Magnoliopsida; Poales; Poaceae. The record is from RefSeq and is a predicted model, not a curated record.
UCGCCUCCCAAUUCCAGCUGCCAAAGGCGACCGACCCCGGCGACGCUCGAUCCGGUGAGCCUGGAGCGCUCGUCGCGGCCGUCUUCCUCCUCCCUGGCCCCGCCUCCCGCCUCCUGUGUGCGCGCGCUCCUCCCCCUCUCUCCCACCCCCUCGCUGCCGACCUCGCCCGCCCCUUCGCCGCCGCCAUGGCCGUCCGUGCCGUCCGCGUGCUCCAUGUCGACAGCUACGACUCCCCCGCGCAAGAGCAGACGCACAAGAGCCCUUUAUCCUCCUAAACAUGCACAAACUCCUCCUAAACAGCGUGCGCCGCCGCCGAUCUGUGCUCUCCUCUCCACGCCGCCGAUUUGUCCUCUUCGGCUUCCUUCCAGCUCCAUGUGCUCCUUCCUCUCACCACCGCCCCAAUCCUCCCCGGCGCCACACCCAGCCUCCUCCACGUCUAUCUCCUGGCGCUGGCGGAUGUGUUCAAUUUGGAGGGAAUUCAGUGCCAUGUCCGUGCAGAAGAAAUACUCCAACACGAUAGCCAUGGAUGGCCCAUCUGGAUUUCACAAAUUCUUUGGUGCCAUAGAAAGAAAGCCUCCACCGGAUUAGAUCACAAGUUCUAAAGACGAACAACUCAAUGUCGCGUCCGCCAACUUCGCCUGAAGACCAUCCACCGUUGUCACCAUCGACUUUGCCGCAAGACCAUCCGCAAUCGCCUCCGCCGACUUUGUCGGAAGACCAUCAAUCGUCGCCUAGACCUACUUCGUCGCAGUGCUUCUUGCUGUACAAGACCACAUCUGGUUUCCACCAAGAAGCUGGAUCAGCGACAUUGGACUCUGGUAAGCUCAUGAAAAUUCUUGCAAUCCAGACUUGGGAGAGUCAAAUUUACAAGUAGCUUUUAUAGUGAUAGCUAACAUCAUCUUACUGUGGUUUAUUUGGCCCAUGUAGAGCUGGCAUGGUACGGCUACACUUCCAACAGUUUUACUUGCUAACAAAAAAUCAAGUAUAACUAAAAGAAUAUAUCUUUCUCUUGCUGAAAUAGGUUUGGACGCACAGUGUGAUAUAUAUAUAUAUAUAUAUAUAUAUAUAUAUAUAUAGAGAGAGAGAGAGAGAGAGAGAGAGAGAGAAAAGUCUAUGUAUUGUGUAAGUCCAUGCUCUCUACAAUCAAAGCCGUCCAUCCAGCAUGUGGAUCUGUUCCAGGCAAGCUUUGUCUCUUUCCAUCUUUGAAUUAAACAAUUUUCCGCAGCUCUCUCAUAUUUCCUCUUUUAGCUUGGUGGUCCAUAGCCUAGCUGCAGUCUAGACCACAUGCCUAUGUGUUUGUCUGGCCGGACGGCACCAUUUGACACAAAGAGUUCCAGACUAUGCCGGACCUUUUUACGAUGUUGUGAGAACAACAGACACUCAUUUUAGGCAAAGUGCAAUACUAUUCGUCAGUGCUUUGUUUUGUUUCUCUGACCAGCACUAAUACCAUGUCACGGACAUCAUAUUCAUCGCGUUUGCAACGAGCAACGCCCUACAACCCCCUUGCCAGCAUGGAUUAUUUUACAGUUAAGGAAAUUUGGGUUAUCAAGUUAGCUGUCGGGGAGCAUCCAUGGACGGUGACAACCCCUUUUUUCUUUGCGACAGCAGCGAGCCGGAUGUUAGGCGUCGGUCUUCAGAUUCUAGAGACCAUGAACGGCCUUUCCUUCUCUGUGUUGGUUAUGUGAGAGGCAACGAGGAGGACCUGCGUUGGUUAUGUGCAUCAAGCUUAGUAGUCUGUAGUCCUAUUUUUUGUUAUGUCAGUAUCUUCAGUUAUGGUACGAUUUGUAUCAUGUCAUAACCAACAUAUUCAUUGCCAUGUACUGCAUUAGACGCAUUGUUAUCAAAUGGAUUUACCAGAUUU